GUUUAUGGUCCAACAACUAAGAUAAUUGCCUUCCAAGCAUUAGACCUGGGUUCAAGUCCCUGCAUAUGCA
This 70-nucleotide transfer RNA is filed under the name Ipomoea nil (Japanese morning glory). It matches the Rfam family "tRNA". From Rfam's summary of the family: Transfer RNA (tRNA) molecules are approximately 80 nucleotides in length. Their secondary structure includes four short double-helical elements and three loops (D, anti-codon, and T loops). Further hydrogen bonds mediate the characteristic L-shaped molecular structure. tRNAs have two regions of fundamental functional importance: the anti-codon, which is responsible for specific mRNA codon recognition, and the 3' end, to which the tRNAs corresponding amino acid is attached (by aminoacyl-tRNA synthetases). tRNAs cope with the degeneracy of the genetic code in two manners: having more than one tRNA (with a specific anti-codon) for a particular amino acid; and 'wobble' base-pairing, i.e. permitting non-standard base-pairing at the 3rd anti-codon position. The record is from Rfam by way of RNAcentral. Lineage: Eukaryota; Viridiplantae; Streptophyta; Magnoliopsida; Solanales; Convolvulaceae.